GGUGAGGUGGCCGAGUGGUUGAAGGCGCACGCCUGGAACGCGUGUAUAGGGGAAACCCUAUCGAGGGUUCGAAUCCCUCUCUCACCGCCA
Molecule: transfer RNA, 90 nt
Filed under: Caulobacteraceae bacterium
Lineage: Bacteria; Pseudomonadati; Pseudomonadota; Alphaproteobacteria; Caulobacterales; Caulobacteraceae
Also listed under: 2 other names
Description: tRNA-Ser
Rfam family: tRNA
About the family: Transfer RNA (tRNA) molecules are approximately 80 nucleotides in length. Their secondary structure includes four short double-helical elements and three loops (D, anti-codon, and T loops).
Source: RNAcentral